UUGAAAGGGAAACGAUUGAAGUCAGUNGUCCCUUUGGGUAAUCAGCCCUUUGGAGUGCGAUUUUGUGGGGUUUGAGGAGCUUUAANACCUUCAUGUUUGCAUAUUCGUGCUCUUGGGUGUACUUGCCCGUGUGGUUGGUUAACAUCAAUUUCGGGCACCAUAAAAUGGCUGGAGGAAUGUAGCUUCGAUCUUGUAUUGAAGUGUUAUAGCCUUCGGUAGAUGUGGUGAUCGAGAUUGAGGAUUGCAACGGAUACCUUUCGGGGCUACCUGUCUGAUCUCUGAUCGUUGUUUUGGUGCUGAAAGCGUGCUUAUAGUUAUAAAGUCGAUGGUCAAUAGGUUAGAAUGGGUUAAAUUCGUUAAGGAUGUUGACGUA
This 373-nucleotide ribosomal RNA is filed under the name uncultured Glomeromycotina. RNAcentral describes it as "LSU rRNA". The record is from RNAcentral. Lineage: Eukaryota; Fungi; Glomeromycota.